CCCCCUCGGAAGAUACCCCGGGAACUGGGACUAAUACCCGAUAGGCGAAGACUCCUGGAAUGGGUCUUCACCCAAAAGGUGUUAAGAUCAUGCUUUUUAACAUCGCCCGAGGACGGGGCCGCGACCGAUCAGGUAGUUGGCGAGGCAACGGCUCACCAAGCCUAUAACCGGUACGGGCCGUGGGAGCGGGAGCCCGGAGAUGGGCACUGAGACAAGGGCCCAGGCCCUACGGGGCGCAGCAGUUGCGAAAACUUGUCAAUGCACGAAAGUGUGAACGGGCUACCCCGAGUGCCGUCCGCUGAGGAUGGCUUUUCUCUGCUGUAAGAAGGCAGAGGAAUAAGGAGAGGGCAAGUCUGGUGUCAGCCGCCGCGGUAAUACCAGCUCUCCGAGUGGUAGGGAUGAUUAUUGGGCUUAAAGCGUCCGUAGCCAGCCUUUCAAGUCUUUCGUUAAAUCCAGCGACUAAUCGUUGGACUGCGGGAGAUACUGUUUGGCUAGGGGGCGGGAGAAGCCGACGGUAUUCUCGGGGUAGGGGUAAAAUCCUAUAAUCCCGGGAAGACCACCAGUGGCGUAGGCGGUCGGCUAGCACGCGCUCGACGGUGAGGGACGAAAGCUGGGGGAGCGAACCGGAUUAGAUACCCGGGUAGUCCCAGCUGUAAACGAUGCGGGCUAGGUGUUGGAGCGGCUACGAGCCGCUUCAGUGCCGCAGGGAAGCCAUUAAGCCCGCCGCCUGGGGAGUACGGCCGCAAGGCUGAAACUUAAAGGAAUUGGCGGGGGAGCAC
This 779-nucleotide ribosomal RNA is filed under the name uncultured archaeon. RNAcentral describes it as "bacterial SSU rRNA". It matches the Rfam family "Archaeal small subunit ribosomal RNA", at positions 110 to 879 of the family's 1478-position model. The record is from RNAcentral.